RNAcentral lists this microRNA precursor (74 nucleotides) under Tursiops truncatus (common bottlenose dolphin). Its description in RNAcentral is "miRNA (ENSTTRG00000025069.1)". Lineage: Eukaryota; Metazoa; Chordata; Mammalia; Artiodactyla; Delphinidae. The record is from RNAcentral.
GGUUGGCCAAAAAGUUCGUUGGAGUUUUUCCGUAACAUCUUAUGGAAAAACCCGAAUGAGCUUUUUGGCCAACC